Long non-coding RNA from Bombus impatiens (common eastern bumble bee), 1390 nucleotides. RefSeq lists it as uncharacterized. The transcript has 3 exons. Lineage: Eukaryota; Metazoa; Arthropoda; Insecta; Hymenoptera; Apidae. The record is from RefSeq and is a predicted model, not a curated record.
UUAUAUUUUCAAUACAAAUAUUAACAGUCACAACAUAUAAACAUUAAUAUUUACAUACGUAAUAUGAAGUGAUUCGCAUAGUUUGUCUUAUGUUAAAAUCUAUGGAGUAUUUUAUUAUUUAACAUUUAGAAUUUAUUACAAUUGUAUCAAAAUUGAGCAAAUCAUAUAUUAGCGAGAUUCAAUUACAAUAAGUAACAAUAAAAAUAAAAUAAAUUUAGAAAGGGAAAAUAAAUGGUAUUUUAUGUAUAAAACACAGGAAGCAAUAUUUGUGAACACUUUCAAUGAACAAUAGUAUUGAUAGCAGAUUUAUACAACAAAUAUAUAAUUUUUAACUGUAGCAGUCUUUAUGAAAGAUUCUAUACUAUUACUUAAAGUUCAAAAUACGGAAUCUAAAAUGUUUAAUAAUUGCUUAUUCCACACUAUCAAAUGAUAAUACUUCAUGAAACAUGGCACGAAAUUGCAUGGAGCCUUCAUGCUCCAAUUUUGUGAGCAAAGACAUAAGGAUGUAAACUAUAUGUAUAUUGUCAAAAUUAAGAUUUGUAUUUUUUGAUUUUAUAAAUUAAGAGGUGUAUAAAAAACGACGGAUAAAAAUACGUUAGCUACAAUUGUAUCAUAGUUACCAAGGAUUGUACGAAUUACUUAUGAUUAAAUGGAUAUUUACUACUAUACAACAAAUUCGUUUGUAAUGUAAUCUAUACAUCAUAUUUGAUCAUUAUAAACACUUCUGUAAUUGAAUUAAAUAUAUUUUACAUGUAAUAAAUGUAAUAAAUUGAACGAUAACGCAAAGGACUGUACGGAAUUUGUUGUUACAUGAGUCAUGAACUGUUAUAACUGUGCGUAAAAAUAAUAUUGAUAUAAUAAUUCAAAAUUUAUCAUAUACUUUAUAAAGAAAUGUUUCCAGGUAUACUAUACUGUCCUUUUCGGGAAUGUAUAUCAACUGCUCGAACUGCGAAGUGAUAAUUAUUUCCUUCAGAAAACUGCAAAAAGGAAGACAUUACAAAUAUCUAUGGAAUAUACUCUAGUGUUUAAACACAAUCUGUUCAAAUUACUUGUGUAAGUGUGCACGCCAUAGGUAGUGGUAAAGCUCGAACAUCGCCUACUUUCUUCCACAAUGACGUGUUAGGAGGAACACCAGCAAUUUCCUGGUAUAAAUUUGCAAGUUGUAACAUACCAUGUGCAACUUUAGAAAUUUUUAAUGAUGGAGCUGGUGGUGAAAGUUUCCAAAGAGGAUUUACAGCAUAAUUACGCGUAUCUGGUAAGGGUGCUGGAUGCUGAAACAAAUACAAUUAUAAACAUACAAGCAUAAACAUAAGUACCUGUAUUAUUAAAACAAAACUGUUAAUUGAAAGUAUACCUUAUUUAACUGUACAUUAGAAGUAGCUGGAGUCGU